Molecule: long non-coding RNA, 6419 nt
Filed under: Carica papaya (papaya)
Lineage: Eukaryota; Viridiplantae; Streptophyta; Magnoliopsida; Brassicales; Caricaceae
Description: long non-coding RNA (CPAP_LNC006840)
Source: RNAcentral
AGCGCUAAAAGCUUUUUCUUCCCCUUCUAAAUGACAAAUCAAACUAUAGUUACGGUAAGAAAUUUUUAUUUUGCAUUGCAUAUAUAUAUUAUUAUUUCUGCUCGUAUCUAUUUUUGUUAUCAAGCUUCCUUUUACCCAACCAGGUAUCUGGAAAAUUUCAGCUACCAUUUGAUUAGGAGUGAGUUCCAAAAACUCAAUAAGAAAGACAAUAUUAAAGUCAUACAAACAUGUUUAAAAACAAUUAAUUAAAUGCAAUUUAUAAGAAAAUAAUAUUAUCUAUUUGUGUUCACCAUAGCAAUUUAUUCAUGAUGCCAAUUUUUAAUUCAAUAAUUCUAAAGACGUUCAAUGCCAUAUUCAAUCACCUAACACACACACACAACUACUGAAUCCUCGCACAUUGGGCUGGACUCUUAUUUUGAGUUUUAUUAUAAUUUAUUAAUAUUUAAUUUAAUUAUAUUGUUUAUAAUCCGACGCAUGUGGAGUUUACACAUAUUUUCCCAAUGAGGCAAUACGGCAUCGACCAAGGUCACGAAUAGGGAUCUCAAUCAUUCAAUAAAUACAUCAAUAGUCGUCAAAUAAAUACAAUCACUCAACCACUCCAAUCGCCAUCACAUUGUUUCACUCAAUCGCUAUAACAUGAAUCUAAUGGUUCAAUUUUCAUCCUAGAAAUACUGAACACCAGUCCCAAACUUGGAACCCAAUGACCACCACCCGGACUGUGAUUGAGUCCAAAACAAUACAAUCAAGCCUUCCAAGAAAAAUUAGAUGAAUCAGAUUUAUUAGACUCUAUGUAAAUUAAGUCUUGGACUCUUAGUUUUAUUUUUCUUUUGAUUCUUAAUUUUAAUCCUAAUUUCUACCUUUUAAAUUUUAAACCCCCUUUUUCUUUCCUAAGUUUAAUUUAAAGUGUUAAUUUUAAUAAUUUUAAUUACUUAGUUAAAUUUUUGGGAAUUUAUUUAUUUAUUUAUUUUUAAUUUAAUUUUUAAUUAUAUUUUAAUAAUUCCCCAAUUUCUCCGUUUUAUCCAAAAUUCCAUUUUUCAUUCCAAUUUUACCCAAUUUCUCAUUUUCCCCAACUUUACCAUUUUCUUAUGUCCAAAACACUGUUAGCAAUUUUUCUUACAUUUGUACCUUUAUGUUGCAUUUAAAUUCAAAUAAGCAUGUUAAUGAAUACUGUAAUUCGUUCAUUAAACAUAAAAACACAAAUUUAAACAUUGAAGACAUGCAUGAACACAUCCACUCUUCUACUUUAAUUAAAACAUCAAGCAUAGCCUCUUUUCAUGCACUUUUUACCCUCUACAUGCAUCUAUAAAACUCCAAAUACGUAUAAACCGUAUUAUCAUCUUUCUUACCUCACUGAAGUAUGAAGAAAAAUUUAAAACGCAUGAAUGGAAGACGUCUACAACAAGAAAAAUAGUCUGUGACGAAUUUGGGUCAAAUUCGCGAGUUCUCGGGUGUUUCUAUCAUGAAAAAUUAAUCUAGAACUUGAAAAUGGCUAGGAAUCGAAGCGAGAAGUUGAAAUUAAGGAGAGCCAGACACUCACCCAAACUGCAACGUGUGCAGCAACAGCAUAGGAAGAAUGCUUCUAUAUUAGAGUUGCUGCGCUAUUCUGGGCAUCCAAAAUGGUUACAGAAGAUGAUAAGAAUCUGGGGAAGAUAUAUUCGAAUCAUUAGAAGGGAAAGCAACUCAACUAGAUGUAUAAAGAAGCUAGAUUCUCUCGGUAGAGGCAUACGACACACCCUAUGUUUUUUUUUAAAAAAAUUUUUCCAGUUCUCUCUCUCUCUUCUAUUUCUCUCUCUAAGUUCGACUCUCUCUCUCUCAAACGAAGUAGGGAAGAGGAAGAACAAAUGGGGAAGCCUUUUAAAUGGCAGUCCCCAUCCAUUUUCUUAUUUCAGCUCACACGCACAUAGUGCGUGUCUUUGCUACCAUGUGAGCAGCUAGCUGGAGGACGAAGACUGGUUGACUUUACAGCUGGUUGGCAAGCUAGCUGCAGCAACCCUCAUUGCCUGGGUUUCCCCCAAGCGAUGGGAUCAACUUUCACCUCUUCACUCUUAAGAAUUUUUUAAAAUUCGUUUUAAUUGCUUUCCUUUCUUUUAAUUAAUUUACACAUUAUUAGUUAAAUUAAAAUACAAUUUAAAUUGGAAUAAAAUAAAAUAUAAAAAAUAUCUCAUUUUAUUAAUUUAUACAAAAUUAAUUUACAUAAGUAGAUAUUACAUAAAACUAUUAAUUAAAUAAUUAGCGUAAUUUUUAAUUUUAAAAAAACUCAAUUGCACAAUUAACACAAAUACAACUUAUUAAUAAAGUGUCAUCAUUACAAAAUAAAGAAAAAUAAAUAUGAUUAGUGGUAUUCGGUGAAGUACUCAUUCAUCAUUGUAAAUAUAUAAAAAAAAAAAUUUCUUUAAAUAGGCACGAAUAAUCAAGUUGUAAUAUUUAAGGAUUUAAAAAGAAAUAAAGAUUAAGGAAAAAAAUUAUAACACCUUACAUUUUUUAUAAAUAACCCAAAUUCAUAGUUGGUAAGUGAGAUAAAAAAUAAAUUUUUAUGAAACAUUUGAGAGAUCCAUUAUAUUAGUAUGCUUUAAAAACUCAUACCUGAUGCCACUUAUAUAUUUUUGCUUGAACUUUUACAAAUUUAAUAGAAGAUUAAAAAUAUAUGAGUUUUUAUAUGAUUUAUUAAUUUUUUAUAAAAAAAGAUUAAUUUAAUGAGGAACAUGUCUACUUAAUAAAUCAUUAAGUGAUAAUUUGAGUAUUCUAUGUGACAUCCUAAGUACUAAUUAAAGCAAAUGGGUGUUAGAUACAGGACCUAUCCGCGUAGGCCUACUGCAUGACGGUGCGCGCACAGUGUGCAACGCCUGUCUGUGCGUGAGGUGACACGCUGAUGGCCUGCCUGUGCGCGACAAUACGUGCGCGUAAGUCCUGACCCCACACCAUGCGCGCGGACGGGACGAGCGUGCUGUGCACAUGUCACAUGCGUGCGUGCGUGCGGAUGAGACGUGCGUGCUGUGCGGAUGUCCUGUGACCACUGUGUGUGCAUGCGCGCGGGCACAGUGCCCAACACCUGCGUGAGCAACCAGCCUUCUUGCGAGAUUUUUUCCAUUUUGCUGUUUUUCGAUUUUGUUUUUUAAAUUUUCAUUUUCAAUUUAAUUUAGUUAAAUUAAAAUCAUUUAAAAUAAAAUAAAAUAAAAUUUAACUAAAAAUUAAAUAAAUAAAAAUAAACCAAAAUUAAAAAUCACGAUAAAUAUUAAACAACGUAAAUUAAUUAAGUGCAAAGCGGCCAAAGGUCCGAAUAAAUAGAGUUUUCAAAUUAUUUUAGCACAAUGAUGAGUAGGGUGUUACAUUUUACUUAUUAUUUUAUAAUGCACUACAUCUUACAUUAUAUGAUAUAUUCCAUUAUAGUACAAUACACAAUUCCCCAUUUUUUACUAAUAACUCUUUAACUCUUAUCUCAUUCUAUGUAUACCAACUUCCACUCUUUUGCCAAACACGAUAAAACACCAUGACUAGAAAUAAGGUUAAGCUUGUCAAUAUCACAAAUGACUCUGUAAGAAAAGCCAUGUUCAAGAAAAGGAAGAAGGGAGUAAUGAAGAACGUGAGUGAACUUAGCGCUCUCUACAAUGUCAAAGCUUCUGCAAUCAUUUAUAGUCUCUAUCACCCGCAACUAGAGGUUUUGGCCUUCCCCACUCAUAGCCCAACGCAUGUUGGCUGACUUUAAGAGGAUGCCCCAUAUAGAGUAAAACAAGAAAAUGGUGAAUUAAGAGAGCUUCUUGCAACACAGGAUCACCAAAACAACCGACCAACUAAAGAAGCAGUGCAAGGACAAUUGAGAGAAGGAGAUCAUACAGAUCUUGUUCCAAAGCCUUAUAGGGAAACUCCUCCACCAACUCAAUCUCAUUGGUCUUUACGAUCUUGGUUGGCUCAUCAAAUAACACCUCAAGAAAAUCCAAAAAAAAAGGAUUGAAACACUCAGCAAAUUACCUCAUCACUCCUUCAGCUAUAACCCCUUGAGCUAGGGUAACUUGCUGAGUGUUUCCAUCCUUAUUUGUAUUUCUUUGAGUUUUUGUUCGAUGAGCCAACCCAAAUUAUUGAGAUCAAUGAGGUUAAGUUGGUGGAGGGGCUUCCCAAUAAGGCUUUAGAACAUGACUUGUGUGAUCUCCUUCUCCCUGUUGUCCUCGCACUGCUUCUUUAGUUGGUCAAUUCCCUUGGUGAUCAUCUGGUGCAGAAAGCUCUCCUGAUUCACCAUCUUCUUGCUAUGUUCCAUCUCAGGUAUCUUUUUGAAGUCAGUUAGCACAUGUUGGGCUCUAAGAGGAGAAGGCCAAACCUCUGGUUACUAGUCGUAGGGACUGUAAAUGAUUGCAAAGGAUUUGACUUUGUAAAGAGUGUUCAAUUCACUCACUUUCUUGAAAGUGACUUUUUGGGCAUAGUCAUUAGUGAUAUAUGCAAGCUUAACCUUUUUUGCAGUCAUGGCAUUUGGUUGUGUUUGACAAAGGAGUAAAAAGGUGUACGUAUAGAAUGGGACAAGGGUUGAAGUCUUAUUAGUAAGGGAUGCUUAUUAGUAAAGGAUGGGGACUGGAACAUUGAAUAUACCAUGUGAGGUUAUAUUAAAACUACAAGUGGAAUGCCCAAAUAAUCUCCAAAAAUGUUGUGUUUUUAAUAGAAGAUAUGGAAAAAUCUUGUAAUUAAAGAUAAUAUAGCUCGUAAAAUUUAAUUAGUGAGUUGUUGCAAAGUUGUACUUAUAUAAAAUCAUUGAAUCCUAACCGUCCGUUUUAAUUAAAAGCUAAUACUUUAAUAUAAUGCAUGUAUAUAUCUAUUCUCUCUUAUAUGUGUAGGUGUGUAAAAAAAAUGAAUUGAAUGGGAUAGAAUAUUUAAUUACUUUUCAUUGUAUGUGGAGGGUUAGUUAAAAAAAAAAAAAAAAGAGAGAAAAAAAAGCUUGAAAAAUUAUUGGUUUGGAAAAUCUACUUGUUAUCGAUAAAAACUAUCUUACUUUUCAAAAAAAAUAUUAAUUCUGAAAAAUGAAAAUAAAAUUUAGGAUUUAAAUUUUUUAAUAACAAUUCAUACAUUUAAUUAAUUAAAUACGAUCUCCUAAAGAUAAUCUAUGAGAAUACACAAUUCGAUCUAAAAUCUCUUAUAAAGAGAGAAAAUACUAAUCAUAUUGUUAGGGAACGAUUAGUAUGUUUAAUUUUAAAAUGUAAUAAUAAAAGUAAACUAUGCAAAUACUUUUGUAUUGACUUAUUUACUAGCUAAACAAUUCUUAAAGAAAUCGAAGAAAUAUUUCCUAUCAAUUUAAUGCAGUAAUAAUAAAAAGGUGUUGUCUCUCUUCUAAUAAAAAAAUGAUACUAAUAUGGUACUAAUAUAUAUGCCUUCUCCUCGACACUCCAUAUUAUCCUUUAAAAUAAUUAUUUUUUUUAAAUGAAAUAAACUUUAUGAAUGACAAUUAACCAUUAUAAACACAAUGAGAAGUACCAUCAAAUGUGACAACCUGCAAUUUUCUAAAUAGAGAAAAACCACUCUGCCAACACAACAUAUCAGAAUUCGCCAAAAACGGCUACAACAUAUAAAUGAACGCCGAAGCACAACCUAAUUAUCCCUUGUACAAUAUUGUAAAAAUAAAUUACAAGCACGAGGUAAUAAAUAUAUAGAGCAAAACUAAAAGCAACGUACCUGAAGUGAAAAAAAUAGUUUUCUAAUUCAAACGCAACUUUCAUUUUAUCAAUCUAAAAAAAUGAGAAUUUGAAUGGGAUGAGCAAAACAACAAGCUCGGUAAAUAUGCUUAAUAGACUACACACUAGGCAUGUGUGUACAACAUACAUUUAAACAUACAUGUGAAAUGUUUCUUAUCUUUUAAGAAAAUAAUGAGUUUCAAACAAGAGAGUUUUAAUACUAAUCUAUAAUCCUAGAGUUUGCAAUUUUUUAUAGUUUUUUAAUGUUUUUAUAGUUUUCUGUUUUUCCUACAGUUACUUUUAAAUUUCAAUUUGACGAUCCUAAUCGCAUGCGCAGUGUCUAGCAGAACAAGUACUAUUUAGGGAUCUCGAUGCCCACUACCACAUGGGCAGAGUAAUACGAUCAUGCACGGACUAGUCACAACAGUACUUUGCCAAGUAACCCAAAUAAAGACAUACAUCCCAACCACAGUUGAAAGGGCUUUCAUUCACACAUUGGCAAGGUUCACCCACCGUUAAAUUUCAAUCAUACUGUUAUGACGGAUAUUUACAGUUUUGCUUUGAGAUAUUCUUUACACUUCUGUUUUAUUUGUAUGAUUGUUUUGUCUUGAGUUUUAUUCGAAGACUUUACAUUUUUCAUUGACUUAACCUUGUUUAGUUUAGUCUUUCCUAUACUUUAAACUCAAUCAUUCCGUUUAUCUUAUCUUCCUCUUAAAUUCAUGCAUUCUAAUUAAUUUAACUCUUAUUUAUUUGGGCAAUUUAAUAUUUGUA